AAAAUAUAAAAAUGAUUUAAAAAAGACAAUUUCUCUUUUCAAACUAGAAAAACUGAUGAAAAAAGGAAAAUAAUGUACUUUCUUAUUAUUUUUUUCCCAAAUUCGACGCUGUUCGACACCUUAAUGAAGCAUAUCAAAGAAAAAGUGUAUUUCAGAAGCUCAAAAAGGUGCUAUUCCCAUUUUCAGGAACUAACAGGAACAUAGUUUUUAUGAAAUAUAAAGACACAAGCC
Molecule: long non-coding RNA, 231 nt
Filed under: Mytilus galloprovincialis (Mediterranean mussel)
Lineage: Eukaryota; Metazoa; Mollusca; Bivalvia; Mytilida; Mytilidae
Source: RNAcentral